UACGUAGGCAGCGAGCGUUGUUCGGAGUUACUGGGCGUAAAGAGUGCGUAGGCGGUGUUCCAAGUCUGUUGUGAAAUCUCCCGGCUUAACUGGGAGGGUGCGGCGGAAACUGGAAUGCUGGAGUGUGGGAGAGGUAAGCGGAAUUCCCGGUGUAGCGGUGAAAUGCGUAGAUACCGGGAGGAACACCCGCAGCGAAGGCGGCCCGCUGGGCCACCCCUGACGCUGAGGCGCGAAGGCUCGGGGAGCGAACGGG
This 253-nucleotide ribosomal RNA is filed under the name uncultured bacterium. RNAcentral describes it as "partial 16S ribosomal RNA". It matches the Rfam family "Bacterial small subunit ribosomal RNA", at positions 524 to 776 of the family's 1533-position model. The record is from RNAcentral.